UGGGGGAUAUUGCACAAUGGGCGAAAGCCUGAUGCAGCGACGCCGCGUGGGGGAUGAAGGCCUUCGGGUUGUAAACUUCUUUUGCUCUGAACAAGGCGCACCAUGGGGUGUGUUGAGUGUAGGGGUUGAUUAGCGCCGGCUAACUACGUGCCAGCAGCCGCGGUAAUACGUAGGGCGCGAGCGUUGUCCGGAAUUAUUGGGCGUAAAGGGCUUGUAGGUGGCUGGUUGCGUCUGUCGGGAAAGCAAAUGGCUUAACUGUGGGUUUGAGGUGGGUACGGGCUGGCUUGAGUGCAGUAGGGGAGGCUGGAAUUCCUGGUGUAGCGGUGGAAGGCGCAGAUAUCAGGAGGAAUACCGGUGGCGAAGGCGGGUCUCUGGGCUGUUACUGACACUGAGGAGCGAAAGCAUGGGGAGCGAACAGG
This 419-nucleotide ribosomal RNA is filed under the name bacterium. RNAcentral's name for it is "partial 16S ribosomal RNA". It matches the Rfam family "Bacterial small subunit ribosomal RNA", at positions 355 to 776 of the family's 1533-position model. The record is from RNAcentral.